RNAcentral lists this ribosomal RNA (459 nucleotides) under uncultured bacterium. RNAcentral's name for it is "partial 16S ribosomal RNA". It matches the Rfam family "Bacterial small subunit ribosomal RNA", at positions 338 to 795 of the family's 1533-position model. The record is from RNAcentral.
CCUACGGGAGGCAGCAGUGAGGAAUAUUGGUCAAUGGACGCAAGUCUGAACCAGCCAUGCCGCGUGCAGGAAGACGGCUCUAUGAGUUGUAAACUGCUUUUGUACGAGGGUAAAUCCCGAUACGUGUAUCGGCUUGACCGUCUCGUACGAAUACGGCUCGGCAAACUCCGUGCCAGCAGCCGCGGUAAUACGGAGGAUUCGAGCGUUAUCCGGUUUUAUGGGGUUAAAGGGGUGCGCGGCGGGUCUGUUAAGUCAGCGGUCAAAGCCCGGGGCCCAACCCCGGUCCGCCGUUGAAACUGGCAGUCUCGAGUUGGAGAGAGGUAUGCGGAAUGCGCGGUGUAGCGGUGAAAUGCAUAGAUAUCGCGCAGAACUCCGAUUGCGAAGGCAGCAUGCCGGAUCCACACUGACGCUGAGGCACGAAAGCGUGGGUAUCGAACAGGAUUAGAUACCCGGGUAGUC